GGAACUGUCCUCCAGAAAAAUUGAGACAGUAGUAGAUACUUCACACGAGUGUAAUGUUGUCUUAUUAAAUCCCCAUAAACAUAUAUGGUUUCUUUCUGCAUGAGAUAUGCCUAGGAUACUCUUUUGGGGAAGACAAGAGGCAGACAAUAAAUGAAGAGAUCGGAAUAUAGAUUGAAAGUGUGGAUGACUUUUGUACUUUUUCAAGAUCAGUUUCUACUGAAACAAUCUAUGGAUGGACAGCUCAGAUUUACAAAGCUUCGUAAAAACUGGCAUUCUAUCUCCGAAGACAGAGAAUAGUACCGACAAUCGCUGCAGCCCAUUCGGAUGUGCGGGCUCAUGCCUUAAACGCGGUGCUCUAGCCUUCGGUUAUAUACCCACUAGCUCGAUAAUCGCUGAUUCAAGCCCUGAGGAGUGAAUAUUUGCAGCUUUAAGGAUCGGCCUCUCCCAGGUUUUCUGGACCCAGGCUCCUUCGAGGAGAAUCACUCUAGGGAGCUUCUGGAAAUCCUGCCGCCCUUCCUCUGACACUUCUCUUUGAAUCCCAGCCACCGUUUCUG
RNAcentral lists this long non-coding RNA (554 nucleotides) under Mustela putorius furo (domestic ferret). RNAcentral describes it as "lncRNA (ENSMPUG00000028022.1)". The record is from RNAcentral. Lineage: Eukaryota; Metazoa; Chordata; Mammalia; Carnivora; Mustelidae.